Molecule: long non-coding RNA, 1009 nt
Filed under: Oncorhynchus kisutch (coho salmon)
Lineage: Eukaryota; Metazoa; Chordata; Actinopteri; Salmoniformes; Salmonidae
Description: lncRNA (ENSOKIG00005044908.1)
Source: RNAcentral
AUGUUAAAUCGUGAUUUGUCUGUCUAUUUACAUUUAAUUCAUACAAGAGCUGAAAUAUUAGUAACAUAUCAUGCUUGUCUCUAUGGUAAUAUACAGUAUAAUAUAAUAUCAUGCUUGUCUCUAUGGUAAUAUACAGUAUAUUAUAAUAUUAGUACUACUAGGAUUACUAGGACUGCAUGGACUAGGACUAUAGACAGUAUAUUAUAGCGUUAUGGAGAUAUAUGGAGUGCAGGACUAGGACUAUAGACAGUAUAUUAUAGCGUUAUGGAGAUAUAUGGAGUGCAGGACUAGGACUAUAGUAUAUUAUAGCGUUAUGGAGAUAUAUGGAGUGCAGGACUAGGACUAUAGACAGUAUAUUAUAGCAUUAUGGAGAUAUAUGGAGUGCAGGACUAGGACUAUAGACAGUAUAUUAUAGCAUUAUGGAGAUAUAUGGAGUGCAGGACUAGGACUAUAGACAGUAUAUUAUAGCGUUAUGGAGAUAUAUGGAGUGCAGGACUAGGACUAUAGACAGUAUAUUAUAGCAUUAUGGAGUGCAGGACUAGGACUAUAGACAGUAUAUUAUAGCGUUAUGGAGAUAUAUGGAGUGCAGGACUAGGACUAUAGACAGUAUAUUAUAGCGUUAUGGAGAUAUAUGGAGUGCAGGAUUAGGACUAUAGACAGUAUAUUAUAGCAUUAUGGAGAUAUAUGGAGUGCAGGAUUAGGACUAUAGACAGUAUAUUAUAGCAUUAUGGAGAUAUAUGGAGUGCAGGACUAGGACUAUAGACAGUAUAUUAUAGCGUUAUGGAGAUAUAUGGAGUGCAGGACUAGGACUAUAGACAGUAUAUUAUAGCGUUAUGGAGAUAUAUGGAGUGCAGGAUUAGGACUAUAGACAGUAUAUUAUAGCAUUAUGGAGAUAUAUGGAGUGCAGGAUUAGGACUAUAGACAGUAUAUUAUAGCGUUAUGGAGAUAUAUGGAGUGCAGGACUAGGACUAUAGACAGUAUAUUAUAGCAUUAUGGAGUGCAGGACUAG